Molecule: ribosomal RNA, 234 nt
Filed under: uncultured bacterium
Lineage: Bacteria
Description: partial 16S ribosomal RNA
Rfam family: Bacterial small subunit ribosomal RNA
Source: RNAcentral
UGGCGGACGGGUGAGUAAUGUCUGGGAAACUGCCCGAUGGAGGGGGAUAACUACUGGAAACGGUAGCUAAUACCGCAUAACGUCGCAAGACCAAAGAGGGGACCUUCGGGCCUCUUGCCAUCGGAUGUGCCCAGAUGGGAUUAGCUAGUAGGUGGGGUAACGGCUCACCUAGGCGACGAUCCCUAGCUGGUCCGAGAGGAUGACCAGCCACACUGGAACUGAGACACGGUCCAG